RNAcentral lists this transfer RNA (64 nucleotides) under Stegodyphus mimosarum. It matches the Rfam family "tRNA". From Rfam's summary of the family: Transfer RNA (tRNA) molecules are approximately 80 nucleotides in length. The record is from Rfam by way of RNAcentral. Lineage: Eukaryota; Metazoa; Arthropoda; Arachnida; Araneae; Eresidae.
GCCUUCGUGGUGUAGUGGUCAGCACGCAUUCGAGAGGUCCGUGGUUCGAUUCCCGGCGAGGGCA